GACGAACGCUGGCGGCGUGCCUAAUACAUGCAAGUCGUGCGGACCUUGUUGAAAGCUUGCUUUUAAAAGGUUAGCGGCGGACGGGUGAGUAACACGUGGGCAACCUGCCUGUAAGACUGGGAUAACGCCGGGAAACCGUGGCUAAUACCAGAUCGUUUUUUCCUCCGCAUGGAGGAAAAAGGAAAGGCGGCUUCGGCUGCUACUUACAGAUGGGCCCGCGGCGCAUUAGCUAGUUGGCGGGGUAAUGGCCCACCAAGGCAACGAUGCGUAGCCGACCUGAGAGGGUGAUCGGCCACAUUGGGACUGAGACACGGCCCAAGCUCCUACGGGAGGCAGCAGUAGGGAAUCUUCCGCAAUGGACGAAAGUCUGACGGAGCAACGCCGCGGGAGUGAAGAAGGCCUUCGGGUCGUAAAACUCUGUUGCCGGGGAAGAACAAGUGCCGUUCGAACAGGGCGGCGCCUUGACGGUACCCGGCCAGAAAGCCACGGCUAACUACGUG
This 500-nucleotide ribosomal RNA is filed under the name uncultured bacterium. Its description in RNAcentral is "partial 16S ribosomal RNA". It matches the Rfam family "Bacterial small subunit ribosomal RNA", at positions 28 to 507 of the family's 1533-position model. The record is from RNAcentral.